This 989-nucleotide ribosomal RNA is filed under the name Cordyceps rosea. RNAcentral describes it as "SSU rRNA". It matches the Rfam family "Eukaryotic small subunit ribosomal RNA", at positions 87 to 1087 of the family's 1831-position model. Lineage: Eukaryota; Fungi; Ascomycota; Sordariomycetes; Hypocreales; Cordycipitaceae. The record is from RNAcentral.
CUGCGAAUGGCUCAUUAUAUAAGUUAUCGUUUAUUUGAUAGUACCUUACUACUUGGAUAACCGUGGUAAUUCUAGAGCUAAUACAUGCUGAAAAUCCCGACUCCGGAAGGGAUGUAUUUAUUAGAUUAAAAACCAAUGCCCUCUGGGCUCCUUGGUGAUUCAUAAUAACUUUUCGAAUCGCACGGCCUUGCGCCGGCGAUGGUUCAUUCAAAUUUCUUCCCUAUCAACUUUCGAUGUUUGGGUAUUGGCCAAACAUGGUCGCAACGGGUAACGGAGGGUUAGGGCUCGACCCCGGAGAAGGAGCCUGAGAAACGGCUACUACAUCCAAGGAAGGCAGCAGGCGCGCAAAUUACCCAAUCCCGAUUCGGGGAGGUAGUGACAAUAAAUACUGAUACAGGGCUCUUUUGGGUCUUGUAAUUGGAAUGAGUACAAUUUAAAUCUCUUAACGAGGAACAAUUGGAGGGCAAGUCUGGUGCCAGCAGCCGCGGUAAUUCCAGCUCCAAUAGCGUAUAUUAAAGUUGUUGUGGUUAAAAAGCUCGUAGUUGAACCUUGGGCCUGGCUGGCCGGUCCGCCUCACCGCGUGCACUGGUCCGGCCGGGCCUUUCCCUCUGUGGAACCCCAUGCUCUUCACUGAGUGUGGCGGGGAAACAGGACUUUUACUUUGAAAAAAUUAGAGUGCUCCAGGCAGGCCUAUGCUCGAAUACAUUAGCAUGGAAUAAUAAAAUAGGACGUGUGGUUCUAUUUUGUUGGUUUCUAGGACCGCCGUAAUGAUUAAUAGGGACAGUCGGGGGCAUCAGUAUUCAAUUGUCAGAGGUGAAAUUCUUGGAUUUAUUGAAGACUAACUACUGCGAAAGCAUUUGCCAAGGAUGUUUUCAUUAAUCAGGAACGAAAGUUAGGGGAUCGAAGACGAUCAGAUACCGUCGUAGUCUUAACCAUAAACUAUGCCGACUAGGGAUCGGACGAUGUUAUUUUUUGACGCGUUCGGCACC